This 919-nucleotide ribosomal RNA is filed under the name uncultured archaeon. RNAcentral describes it as "bacterial SSU rRNA". It matches the Rfam family "Archaeal small subunit ribosomal RNA", at positions 1 to 922 of the family's 1478-position model. The record is from RNAcentral.
UUCCGGUUGAUCCUGCCGGAGGCCAUUGCUAUCGGAAUCCGAUUUAGCCAUGCGAGUUGCACGAAUUCAUCUUCGUAGCGAACUGCUCAGUAACACGUGGCCAAUCUGCCCUAUGGAUACGGAUAAUCUCGGGAAACUGAGGCUAAUCCGUGAUAGCGCUCCUAUGUUUGAAUACAGGGAGCGUGAGACGCUCCGGCGCCAUAGGAUGAGGCUGCGGCCGAUUAGGUAGACGGUGGGGUAACGGCCCACCGUGCCGAUAAUCGGUACGGGUCAUGAGAGUGAGAGCCCGGAGACGGACUCUGAGACAAGAGUCCGGGCCCUACGGGGCGCAGCAGGCGCGAAACCUUUACACUGCACGACAGUGCGAUAGGGGGAUUCCGAGUGCGAGGGCAUACAGUCCUCGCUUUUGUGUACCGUAAGGUGGUACACGAAUAAGGGCUGGGCAAGACCGGUGCCAGCCGCCGCGGUAAUACCGGCAGCUCAAGUGAUGGCCGAUAUUAUUGGGCCUAAAGCGUCCGUAGCUGGCCGGGCAGGUCCGUCGGGAAAUCCACUCGCCUAACGAGUGGGCGUCCGGCGGAAACCGCUCGGCUUGGGACCGAGAGACCAGAGGGGUACGUCCGGGGUAGGAGUGAAAUCCUGUAAUCCUGGACGGACCACCGGUGGCGAAAGCGCCUCUGGAGAGCGGAUCCGACAGUGAGGGACGAAAGCUAGGGUCUCGAACCGGAUUAGAUACCCGGGUAGUCCUAGCUGUAAACGAUGCUCGCUAGGUGUGGCGCAGGCUACGAGCCUGCGCUGUGCCGUAGGGAAGCCGUGAAGCGAGCCGCCUGGGAAGUACGUCCGCAAGGAUGAAACUUAAAGGAAUUGGCGGGGGAGCACUACAACCGGAGGAGCCUGCGGUUUAAUUGGACUCAACGCCGGU